This 1366-nucleotide ribosomal RNA is filed under the name metagenome. Its description in RNAcentral is "bacterial SSU rRNA". It matches the Rfam family "Bacterial small subunit ribosomal RNA", at positions 116 to 1477 of the family's 1533-position model. The record is from RNAcentral.
CAUCGGAACGUACCUUUCAGUGGGGGAUAACGUAGCGAAAGUUACGCUAAUACCGCAUAUUCUGUGAGCAGGAAAGCAGGGGAUCGCAAGACCUUGCGCUGAUGGAGCGGCCGAUGUCAGAUUAGCUAGUUGGUGGGGUAAAGGCUCACCAAGGCGACGAUCUGUAGCGGGUCUUAGAGGAUGAUCCGCCACACUGGAACUGAGACACGGUCCAGACUCCUACGGGAGGCAGCAGUGGGGAAUUUUGGACAAUGGGCGCAAGCCUGAUCCAGCCAUGCCGCGUGAGUGAAGAAGGCCUUCGGGUUGUAAAGCUCUUUCGGCCGGGAAAAAAUCGCUUGGGUUAAUACCCUGAGUGGAUGAUGGUACCGGAAUAAGAAGCACCGGCUAACUACGCGCCAGCAGCCGCGGUAAUACGUAGGGUGCGAGCGUUAAUCGGAAUUACUGGGCGUAAAGCGUGCGCAGGCGGUUUUGUAAGACAGGCGUGAAAUCCCCGGGCUCAACCUGGGAACUGCGUUUGUGACUGCAAGGCUAGAGUAUGGCAGAGGGGGGUGGAAUUCCACGUGUAGCAGUGAAACGCGUAGAGAUGUGGAGGAACACCAAUGGCGAAGGCAGCCCCCUGGGCCAAUACUGACGCUCAUGCACGAAAGCGUGGGGAGCAAACAGGAUUAGAUACCCUGGUAGUCCACGCCCUAAACGAUGUCAACUAGGUGUUGGGUGGGUAAAACCAUUUGGUACCGUAGCUAACGCGUGAAGUUGACCGCCUGGGGAGUACGGCCGCAAGGUUAAAACUCAAAGGAAUUGACGGGGACCCGCACAAGCGGUGGAUGAUGUGGAUUAAUUCGAUGCAACGCGAAAAACCUUACCUACCCUUGACAUGCCAGGAACUUGCCAGAGAUGGCUUGGUGCCCGAAAGGGAGCCUGGACACAGGUGCUGCAUGGCUGUCGUCAGCUCGUGUCGUGAGAUGUUGGGUUAAGUCCCGCAACGAGCGCAACCCUUGUCGUUAAUUGCCAUCAUUUAGUUGGGCACUUUAACGAGACUGCCGGUGACAAACCGGAGGAAGGUGGGGAUGACGUCAAGUCCUCAUGGCCCUUAUGGGUAGGGCUUCACACGUCAUACAAUGGUCGGUACAAAGGGUUGCCAAGCCGCGAGGCGGAGCCAAUCCCAGAAAGCCGAUCGUAGUCCGGAUCGCAGGCUGCAACUCGCCUGCGUGAAGUCGGAAUCGCUAGUAAUCGUGGAUCAGCAUGUCACGGUGAAUACGUUCCCGGGUCUUGUACACACCGCCCGUCACACCAUGGGAGCGGGUUCCGCCAGAAGUAGGUAGCCUAACCGCAAGGAGGGCGCUUACCACGGCGGGGUUCGUGACUG